AGCAGGGAAUAUUGCGCAAUGGACGAAAGUCCGACGCAGCGACGCCGCGUGGGUGAAGAAGGCCUUCGGGUUGUAAAGCCCUUUUCUGGGGGAAGAGCAAGGACGGUACCCCAGGAAUAAGUGUCGGCUAACUACGUGCCAGCAGCCGCGGUAAUACGUAGGACACGAGCGUUAUCCGGAUUUACUGGGCGUAAAGCGCCUGUAGGUGGACGAACAAGUCGGCUGUGAAAGCCCUGGGCUUAACCCGGGGAGGCCAGGCGAUACUGUUCGACUUGAGGGUGACAGAGGGGAGUGGAAUUCCCGGUGUAGCGGUAAAAUGCGCAGAUAUCGGGAGGAACACCAGUGGCGAAGGCGGCUCCCUGGGUCAUACCUGACACUGAGAGGCUAAAGCUAGGGGAGCGAACAGGAUUAGAGACCCUGGUAGUCCUAGCCCUAAACGCUGGAUGCUAGGUGUGGGAUCGAGAGGUUCCAUGCCACAGCUAACGCGAUAAGCAUCCCGCCUGGGGACUACGGCCGCAAGGCUAAAACUCAAACGAAUUGACGGGACCCCGCACAAGCAGCGGAGCGUGUGGUUUAAUUCGAUGCUACACGAAGAACCUUACCUGGGUUUGACAUGGAGGUGGUAGGGAGCCGAAAGGUGACCGACUCUUCGGAGAGCCUUCACAAGUGCUGCAUGGCUGUCGUCAGCUCGUGCCGUGAGGUGUCGGGUUAAGUCCCGUAACGAGCGCAACCCUUGUCCACAGUUACAAGUGUCUGUGGAGACUGCCGGCGAUAAGCCGGAGGAAGGUGGGGAUGACGUCAAGUCAGCAUGGCCUUUAUGUCCAGGGCUACACACACGCUACAAUGGGCGGUACAAUGGGCAGCGAAGCCGCGAGGCAGAGCGAAUCCCAGCAAAGCCGUUCGUAGUUCGGAUUGCAGGCUGCAACCCGCCUGCAUGAAGCUGGAGUUGCUAGUAACCGCGCGUCAGCCAUAGUGCGGUGAAUACGUUCCCGGGGUUUGUACACACCGCCCGUCACGUCAUGGGAGUCGGUAACGCCUGAAGCCGGUAGCCUAACCGCAAGGGAGGCGCCGUCGAAGGUGGGGCUGGCGACUGGGACG
RNAcentral lists this ribosomal RNA (1098 nucleotides) under uncultured bacterium. RNAcentral's name for it is "bacterial SSU rRNA". It matches the Rfam family "Bacterial small subunit ribosomal RNA", at positions 353 to 1482 of the family's 1533-position model. The record is from RNAcentral.